GAAUAAUCCAGCCAACAGCGCUUUCAGAUCGUGCUCCAAGCAUCAGAGAAGCUGCAUAUCCGUCUACCUACAUAUGGGUCCAGUCUCCAAACAUGGCAGGCACCACGGAGGGUUAUCCGGCCUCACCUUCAGAGCCUAAGCUAAGUACAGAAGAGCACACAAAUCCUAACUACUGCUCAGUGAAUUUCCCCAACAUGCACAUCCCUGCGUAACCAGCACCCAGACCAAGAAGGAGAAGCCUUCUGUACACCAGAAGCCCCGCUGUCCCCCUCGUGACCCUCUCUCAACAGGAACUACUAUCUUGACCUCUAACGCUGUAAAUCCGCUUGGCUGUUUUGAAAUUUGUAUCGAUGCAAUCGUAGUUUACAUUCUUUUAGGUCUUCUUUUGCUCAAUAUUCUUUGCAAGUUUCAUUCAUGCGGAUCCACGAAGCUACUUCCAUCCUAUGCAUGUAACAGAUUAUCUAUUUCACUGUUGAUGUGCGUUUAGCUUAUUUCCAAUUUGAGGCUGUUACAAACAGACCCCUACAAAACGUCUUAUACUUAAGUCGCCUGGUGAACACAUGUGGGGUGGCUUUGUAAUAGGUCAGCCUGGCUAGGCCGAACUACGUCUCUCAGAAUUGCCUUCCUCGUGAAUUCCAGGUGAGACGGGUGGAAUGUGGGAUGUGGGACGUGGGAGUGAUGUGGCAGGGCAGCAGUCGGCAUAUCGUAUGCACAUCAGGAGGCUGGGGGAGGAGCACCAGGCAGCUCGUGUGCAUUACUGCUCGUCUGCGGACCACCUCGGGGGUCUGGGGGUGGCAGCCAGGCCUGUGAAUGCUGGACCCACCUUCCCCUGGAUCUUCUUUCACCUUCUCUGACUCCUAAGCCAGUUGUGGGUUUAGUUCCACAAUGAAGGGCAUCAACUUCAUCAGGACACCCACAUCCUGAAAGCUGGAGGCGGACUGACCCGGGUUCCUGUACAUGAGUUCCAGCUUCUCUCCAUGUUCCCAACUAUACUCUCUUCUUCGAUAACUGCCGGCCCAAUAGAGUUCCAGCUCCCUCAUCAGGCAGAAAGACAACAGCCUUAUACAGCCUGCCUACCUAGCUCCCACAACUGCGUAAGAUCAAAUUCUUGCAAUAAAUCCCUUUAGACAUCUC
This is a long non-coding RNA of Felis catus (domestic cat), 1134 nucleotides long. RefSeq lists it as uncharacterized. The transcript has 2 exons. The record is from RefSeq and is a predicted model, not a curated record. NCBI's taxonomy places the organism in Eukaryota, Metazoa, Chordata, Mammalia, Carnivora, Felidae.